AUGUCUGGCAAGCUAUCUAAAAAAAGGCAUCGAGCGCUCCAGAAUUUUCCUCGAGAAGCUGUUGGCAGGGAUUUGGAAAUCAUACUUCGAAUUAGAAGAGAUGUGAAGUCCGUGGAGAAGUGGAGCUCCUUCCUUAACCGAUGCGGCGCUGUGCGCGGCCUCCGGGCUCUGGUGCAUAGUCUACCUCCGCCCUGCGUCUUGCUAGUGCCGCCGGCCGGCUGGUCGCGGGUCGCCGGCUCACUGGGUGGUCCAUGGACCACCCUGGCCACCCCCUGUGGCUACGCCACUAACUCCACAGCCACUCCACUCUCUGAACGUCAUCCACUCCCCUGCCCGUGUCGCCCUCCUCUUCCCCGCAUCGCCGCCGGCCGCCGGCCUCCACCCUCACCCUUGCUGGUCGCCGGCCUCCGCCCUCACCCCCACAGCUGCCGGCCUCCACCCUCACCUCCCACUGCUGCGCCCUCUCAUCCCCUCCGCUGUUCUCAUCAGAAAAGAGAAGUGGCAGAUCGAGAGAUCAGGCAGCGGCCAGUCCACUCCUCUCCCUCGGCCGCGGAGUUUCUCCCGACGGGCCACCCGGACCCGUCCGUCCUCGAGCGUCUCCUCCGCCUGCUCGCCUCCCGCGGCUUCUUCUCCGAGCACACAGCCGACGGCAAUCGGAGGCGGUACACGCUGACCGCCCUGAGCACUUCGUGCGCGCCCACGCCGGCGUCCCCGCCCACACCUACUACGGCCAGUCCACGCCGACGGCGAUCAGAUGCAAGCACAACCGGCUCCCUCUCUCCCACCGCCGCCCCCUCCCAUCCCCUUCCUCCACUCAUCCGACGACGUGGACUGGGAUUACAGACUGACACAGAAGCAAAGUGUUUCAAGGCACAUAAAUCCAAUGAUGAGAGUGGUAGUUUCAGAAAAGAUGAUGAAGCUGAUUCAAGAAAUACUACUAAGGCUGUUGAUCAAAAUCCUCCACCACCAAAGCAAGGUUUCAUCCAUGUGAGGGCAAGAAGGGGUCAAGCAACUGACAGCCAUAGCCUUGCAGAAAGGGUCAGUUCAAUGCACAAUUUCCAGUUUUGA
This 1068-nucleotide ribosomal RNA is filed under the name Triticum aestivum (bread wheat). RNAcentral's name for it is "partial small subunit ribosomal RNA". Lineage: Eukaryota; Viridiplantae; Streptophyta; Magnoliopsida; Poales; Poaceae. The record is from RNAcentral.